CUUGCUGUUCAAGAACAUCGGCAGCAGAAGAUAAUUUUCAGACGUUGUUGUCCUUCUGGGGUAAUGAUGCUGCCGUCUUCCAUAAUAUAGCUCCACCUUAAUCGGCCACGCCUACUAUUAACUAAAAUCUUAUCAAAGAUAGUGUUGUUUAGCUUGGCUAUUUGUUUUGUUGUUUAUGCUUAAUUUAAGCAUUUUUCUAGGCUUCAGAACCAUGAAUU
Molecule: long non-coding RNA, 218 nt
Filed under: Elaeis guineensis (African oil palm)
Lineage: Eukaryota; Viridiplantae; Streptophyta; Magnoliopsida; Arecales; Arecaceae
Description: long non-coding RNA (EGUI_LNC082905)
Source: RNAcentral